Molecule: ribosomal RNA, 304 nt
Filed under: uncultured bacterium
Lineage: Bacteria
Description: bacterial SSU rRNA
Rfam family: Bacterial small subunit ribosomal RNA
Source: RNAcentral
GACGAACGCUGGCGGCGUGCUUAACACAUGCAAGUCGAGCGGUAAGGCCCUUUCGGGGGUACGACGAGCGGCGAACGGGUAGAGUAACACGUGGGUGACCUCGCCCUCCAGCUCUGGGAGUAAGCCUGGGAAACGUGGGCCGUAAUACUGGAUAUGACUCCACGGUGCAUGUCGUGGGGUGGAAAGCCUUGUGCGGCUGAGGAUGGGCCCGCGGCCUAUCAGCUUGUUGGUGGGGUGANGGCCUACCAAGGCGACGACGGGUAGCCGGCCUGAGAGGGCGACCGGCCACACUGGGACUGAGACA